AUACUAAACAAGUUUUAAUCAAAUUUAGAGAAACCUCAAAGGAAUUCCAAAAAAAUAAUAAAAAAUCUUAAAGAAAUAUUAUAAUAAUUACAAACAUAUUUCAAAUACAUCUCAAUUCAAUCUUAAUUUAAUACUAGUUGAAAUCUUACUUCAUUCAAACUUAAGGCCAAAAACUAACUAAAUCUUAUAUCCUAAAUAAAUUCAAAUAAAAUCCUAAAUCCUAAACCAAAUCCUAACCAAAUCCUAAAUCCUAACCUUAAAUCAAAUCCUAACCAAAUCUUAACCCUAAAUCAAAUCCUAACCAAACCUUAAUCCUAAAUAAAAUCCUAACUAAACCUUAAUGCUAAAUCAAACCCUAAUCAAAUCCUAAAUCCUAAACCAAAUUCCAAUCCUAAAUCAAAUCCUAAUCAAAUCCUAAUCCUAAAUCAAAUCCUAACCAAACC
Molecule: long non-coding RNA, 443 nt
Filed under: Physcomitrium patens
Lineage: Eukaryota; Viridiplantae; Streptophyta; Bryopsida; Funariales; Funariaceae
Description: long non-coding RNA (PPAT_LNC007417)
Source: RNAcentral